CAGUCGCCGCGGGAAAACGUAGGGCGCAAGCGUUAUCCGGAAUUAUUGGGCGUAAAGAGCUCGUAGGCGGUUUGUCGCGUCUGCCGUGAAAGUCCGGGGCUCAACCCCGGAUCUGCGGUGGGUACGGGCAGACUAGAGUGAUGUAGGGGAGACUGGAAUUCCUGGUGUAGCGGUGAAAUGCGCAGAUAUCAGGAGGAACACCGAUGGCGAAGGCAGGUCUCUGGGCAUUAACUGACGCUGAGGAGCGAAAGCAUGGGGAGCGAACAGGAUUAGAUACCCCCGUAGUCCCUGUCUCUUAUAC
RNAcentral lists this ribosomal RNA (301 nucleotides) under uncultured bacterium. RNAcentral's name for it is "partial 16S ribosomal RNA". It matches the Rfam family "Bacterial small subunit ribosomal RNA", at positions 509 to 807 of the family's 1533-position model. The record is from RNAcentral.